UGGGGAAUAUUGCACAAUGGGCGCAAGCCUGAUGCAGCCAUGCCGCGUGUGUGAAGAAGGCCUUCGGGUUGUAAAGCACUUUCAGCGAGGAGGAAGGUGGUGAGCUUAAUACGCUCAUCAAUUGACGUUACUCGCAGAAGAAGCACCGGCUAACUCCGUGCCAGCAGCCGCGGUAAUACGGAGGGUGCAAGCGUUAAUCGGAAUUACUGGGCGUAAAGCGCACGCAGGCGGUUUGUUAAGUCAGAUGUGAAAUCCCCGGGCUCAACCUGGGAACUGCAUUUGAAACUGGCAAGCUAGAGUCUCGUAGAGGGGGGUAGAAUUCCAGGUGUAGCGGUGAAAUGCGUAGAGAUCUGGAGGAAUACCGGUGGCGAAAGGCGGCCCCCUGGACGAAGACUGACGCUCAGGUGCGAAAGCGUGGGGAGCAAAACAGGAUUAGAUACCCCGGUAGUCCACGCUGUAAAACGAUGUCGAUUUUGGAGGUUGUGCCCUUGAGGCGUGGCUUCCGGAGCUAACGCGUUAAAUCGACCGCCUGGGGAGUACGGCCGC
This 546-nucleotide ribosomal RNA is filed under the name uncultured bacterium. RNAcentral's name for it is "partial 16S ribosomal RNA". It matches the Rfam family "Bacterial small subunit ribosomal RNA", at positions 355 to 889 of the family's 1533-position model. The record is from RNAcentral.